RNAcentral lists this ribosomal RNA (453 nucleotides) under uncultured bacterium. RNAcentral's name for it is "bacterial SSU rRNA". It matches the Rfam family "Bacterial small subunit ribosomal RNA", at positions 487 to 939 of the family's 1533-position model. The record is from RNAcentral.
UAAGCGCCGGCUAACUCUGUGCCAGCAGCCGCGGUAAUACAGAGGGUGCGAGCGUUAAUCGGAUUUACUGGGCGUAAAGCGUGCGUAGGCGGCUUAUUAAGUCGGAUGUGAAAUCCCCGAGCUUAACUUGGGAAUUGCAUUCGAUACUGGUGAGCUAGAGUAUGGGAGAGGAUGGUAGAAUUCCAGGUGUAGCGGUGAAAUGCGUAGAGAUCUGGAGGAAUACCGAUGGCGAAGGCAGCCAUCUGGCCUAAUACUGACGCUGAGGUACGAAAGCAUGGGGAGCAAACAGGAUUAGAUACCCUGGUAGUCCAUGCCGUAAACGAUGUCUACUAGCCGUUGGGGCCUUUGAGGCUUUAGUGGCGCAGCUAACGCGAUCAGUAGACCGCCUGGGGAGUACGGUCGCAAGACUCAAACUCCAAUGAAUUGACGGGGGCCCGCACAAGCGGUGGCGCA